This 498-nucleotide ribosomal RNA is filed under the name uncultured bacterium. RNAcentral's name for it is "partial 16S ribosomal RNA". It matches the Rfam family "Bacterial small subunit ribosomal RNA", at positions 30 to 523 of the family's 1533-position model. The record is from RNAcentral.
AUUGAACGCUGGCGGCAGGCCUAACACAUGCAAGUCGAGCGGUUGAGGUAGCUUGCUACCGAUGCAGCGGCGGACGGGUGAGUAAUACAUGGGAAUCUGCCUGGUAGUGGGGGACAACGUUUCGAAAGGAACGCUAAUACCGCAUACGCCCUACGGGGGAAAGGGGGGGAUCUUCGGACCUCUCGCUAUCAGAUGAGCCCAUGUCGGAUUAGCUUGUUGGUGAGGUAAAGGCUCACCAAGGCGACGAUCCGUAACUGGUCUGAGAGGAUGAUCAGUCACACUGGAACUGAGACACGGUCCAGACUCCUACGGGAGGCAGCAGUGGGGAAUAUUGGACAAUGGGCGCAAGCCUGAUCCAGCCAUGCCGCGUGUGUGAAGAAGGCCUUAGGGUUGUAAAGCACUUUCAGUGGGGAGGAAGGUUAUUCACCUAAUACGUGAGUAAAUUGAUGUUACCCACAGAAGAAGCACCGGCUAACUCCGUGCCAGCAGCCGCCGCCG